AUACGGAGGGAGCAAGCGUUAUUCGGAAUCACUGGGCGUAAAGGAUGCGUAGGCGGAUAAUCAAGUCAAAAGUGAAAUCCCACGGCUUAACCGUGGAACUGCUUUCGAAACUGGUUAUCUAGAAUAUGGAAGAGGCAGAUGGAAUUAGUGGUGUAGGGGUAAAAUCCGUAGAGAUCACUAGGAAUACCGAUUGCGAAGGCGAUCUGCUGGGACAUUAUUGACGCUGAGGCAUGAAAGCGUGGGGAGCAAACAGGAUUAGAAACCCCAGUAGUCC
This 274-nucleotide ribosomal RNA is filed under the name uncultured bacterium. Its description in RNAcentral is "partial 16S ribosomal RNA". It matches the Rfam family "Bacterial small subunit ribosomal RNA", at positions 523 to 796 of the family's 1533-position model. The record is from RNAcentral.